Long non-coding RNA from Cyprinus carpio carpio, 742 nucleotides. Lineage: Eukaryota; Metazoa; Chordata; Actinopteri; Cypriniformes; Cyprinidae. The record is from Ensembl.
CUCAGGUGUUAGUUGUGGGCGGGGCCUCAGACGACAGCUUGGUCCACUAAUCGCAAAAGCAAUUAAUUUUAUUUUCUUAAACAUACAAACAAAAAAUAUAUAGAAAUUUGGUAAAUAUAUAACAUAAAAAUAUGAAGUGGUUUUAAAAAUUGAGGAUGUUUUAUUCUUAAUAACUUCGCUGGCACGCGGGAAGUGUCCUGUUUGAGGCCUACUCAUUUAGUUUAUUAUUUAGUAGCAUUUAGGCACAAAGACACAAUUUUCUAUGAUAGUCGGAUAAAUGUUGAAGUAAGAAGAUGAAAAUACCAAAAAAUGACGCUUUCUUCAGUUUCACUGUGGAAAGACCGCGGAGUGAAGUAUACACAGCAUGGUUUCUGUGGAUGGCCUGCGUGUCUUCAGCAGCGGCAGAAUCCUCUGAGGAACUGGCCUGACUCAUCUGCAUCUGUGACAGGUCAUGUCCAUGAGCUGGAGUGGAUAACCCGAAGCGCCCAAACCGGCCCACUAACACUCAAAUCUAUGUUUAAAGAUGCUGUCAGGUUUAAGAUGGAAAGGAAUCGCAUGGAAAAGUUGCUACCAAGUAAUUUCAGUGCAAGAAACAUUGUUUUGAAUCACCUGUGAUGAUGUGAUAAUGUGAAGGAAUAUCUGUAUUGUAUAAUAGGCUACCACUCAAAAGUUUGGAGUUAGUAAGGUUUUUUUUUUUUUUUUAAUAAAUGUUUUUGAAAUAAGUCUUUUAUGCACACCAAGG